AAGAUUCUAAAAGAAGCAACAACGGAAACUGCUUUGGCAACAGACUGCAUGUAGAAAGGAACUAUGAGAAAACUGCGUAUGAUUCAUGUCGUAGAGCUCCUGUUUCUUGCGGUGGAAGUCGCUCUUGGUGAUGUGCUUCUUAUCCAUUUUGCUCUGACCUUCUCCACGAAUCGCUAUGGUCUCUCUACGAGAGACAGAUGCCUCCAUAUCACGAAUCAUCUUCUCCUGCUGCUUCAUCAGCUGGCCAUAACGGACCUUUCAUUUGUCAAGAUAUAUUAAAAAAAAAAAGGCUGAAAAUACCAAAUGGUUACAAAAGGCACCUAAUUAAAUCCUUCCGUAUAGCACAUCUCAUCAACAUAAACCAGGUAUAUGUGACACAUGAGCCUUGGCAAGCCAAAUUUGUUUUAAAUCCAAACCUAGUUUGCACAGUGUGGAUCUGGAAGGCAGAGAGCUAAAUUAGUUACUGACUCUACAACAACUUGUCUAAAGUAAUCUUCAAAAAGUUUCAUUGGAACUCACUUCUGCUUUUGCUAUUGCAAAUAUCUUGAGAAUGAAAGGGAAGAGUUUCUUUGCCAGAAGAUAGAUGGCUUCUAACUAGUGAUUAACAUGAUGUAGUGUUUAAUAAUAUUUCUUUGCUUAUAAAUUGGAGUCACAGAAUCAGGUAAUAGACAUAUUUCAAAGAAAAUUCUUUCUCAGAUAUGUCUAUAUUUUACUGCAGUCACACAGUUAGUGCAAGGAUUGCCUAAAGUGCAUUCAUGCUGAACAUAUUUAAUUCAGUCUAGCUGCAGGGUGAUGAGAUUUCCCCAAUACUGCUACAGCCUUGGAGACGCUACUUCUCCAGCUUUUUUUUUCCUGCCUUAUGUUUGAGCAAUUCCAUUGAAGCUGAAUAAGUUGCAUGCAACUCCUCCUCUUCAGUCCUCUUUCCCAAUAGCUUACUUGCAUCCUAUGAAUCUCUGUUCUCAUGGCUCGGAUUUCGCCUUGUCCUGUCUCAGAAUCCACUGUUGAACGCAUCUCUUUGGCCAGCUGGAUCUUUUUCUCCCACAGCAUGAUUUGAUGCCUUCAAUGACAGAAAGGGAAAGAAGUGCCUUUGUGAACAACAGGGAAGAUGUGCAUCAGUGGCGCCACACUCCAGAAGCCAAUUCUGAACACAAAGUUGAAUGGUUCAGCAGAAACUUAAGGUUUGCAUAUGAGACAUGUCAUAAGGCAGCAACACCCUCAGUGUGAAGUCAGACAGGAAGCUCUGCAAUUUAGAAAGCACAUGGUGAGUGUAAAAACAAGCCAGCCCAGACUGACAGGGGGCUGAUAGCCCCCAAUUAAUUGCCCAGGACAGCACAUUUGCUCUGAGUUACUGGCAGAGGAGAUGCCAUGUGCAGCUUCCCAUACUGAUCUUGGCAACAUCCAGCACAGAUAAAUAUGCUGGAAUCAUUAAAGCCGACAUCCUCUCAGCUCUUGCUGGUUCCAAAGAUGGCUAAAGGCCCUAGCUGCUCUGAAAAGAAAUCAUAAGAAAUCAUAAAAUUCUAGAUGCUUAACUGGGGAGGGGAAGGGACAGGGAAAAUACCACACAAAAUAUAGUUACUGUGGCCUAAAAAAUUAGAAUGCUGCUAAAGAAGCCUUCAGUUUCUGCAUUUCAAAAAUUUGUUAAACUACUUUCAACUUCUCCAAGAAGGGUAGAAGCACAUUUGCUGCUGUGAUUGGAGAAGGAAGGUAAUAUGGACCCAUACACAAGAGUUCAAAUACUGUGGCAUAAGGCAAGAAUCUUUCUGGUACCUACUCUGCUUCCACCAAGCUGUUUAGGAGUCUUUCCUUCUCCUCACUCAAUUGACUGUGCUUCUCCUGCAUCUCAAUUGAUUCUUUUUCUGCUGCCUAGAUUUGGGAAGCAAAAACCAACACAGUAUUGUCAGACUGAGAAAGAUUUACAGGAUCGCUGUUUGCCUCCUAUCUUCAUACCCUUUUUGUUUGCCAGUCUUUAUACCCACACAAAUGGUAUACCUAACUUGUUUCUCCUGUGUAAUUAAAGUCAUCAUCCUUAAGCAAGAAACAAACUUGGAUGCCUUUUCUGUGCAUAACUAUAUAGAUUGCAUAACUGUAUAUAACUACAAUAGAACUACCUCUCUCUGGUCAUAUUAUUUUGUACCACAAAAACUAUUUUCUUCUGGGCCACCUGCUGCACAGAACUCUUGAAAGCCCAGUCAGACUGCAGGAUGGUAGGCUGUGCCCUGGAGAUGAAAAGCCAAGCCUCCAUACCUUCAGAGAGCAUACAAACUCAUUCUCUGUGAUAAUGUUGCCAUAUUGCAACUCCUCAAAGCUGUUGCUGUUCUUGUUGAUCAAUAUAUUUAACUUUAUCAAGUCAUUCGACAUGUUCCUCAUGUGACGUUCAAUGUCUUUCUGCUCUUUUGUUUCCUGCUGAAUUUCAUCUACAGGUGAACAGAAGAAAGAUUUAAAAUUCCCUUGAACGCUGGACUGAGUACAGCCAAGGUGUGACAGACUGCAAUUAGACCAGGCAACACUGCGUGCAGAGCCAGCUGUGUCCUAUGUACCCUGCCAAAACACCUCUCCAUAAGCCCCAAAAUCAAGUAAAGAUUUUGGAAAUAGACUACUGUGAAAGAGAGUUGGUUUUGGCUGAGGAAAGUGCUGUCACCUACCAACUACUUGCAGACUUUAUUUAGGAAGGGUAACACAUGAGAUCAUCACUUAGGGUUUGACUGUGUGAGUUAAAGACAGCAAGAUCGGAUCAUUACAGGGAAUAAUGACAUGCAAAAUGGCAGAAAGUGCCUGGCUUUUAGCCCCAGAGCAUACUUCUGGGGCCAUAUGCAUUAUUGCUCACACAUAUAUAGGAAUACUGAAGGCAUUCUCUGGUGAAGGGUCUAACAUUACCUGCCUGUAAACCUUUGCUGCCUUUUUUCUCCAUCCAUCGAUGAACAUUAUAAGAAAAAGUUAGGGAAUGACUUACUUUCAAUGCGUACUUUCUUCUGCUGCAUGAUUGUGAUCUGCUUCUUUAACAUAUCCAAGGAGGCUAGCUGCUCCUCCCGUCCGUGCGUUAAUUUGACCAGCUCUUUCUGCAGCUUAAGCCAGUACUUCUGUAGUGUCAUCACCUCAGAAUUACAUUCUUCUAUCUGCUUGGUCAGUCUGUUGAUCUCAAUUUCCAGUGGUCCCAACUCUUGCCCCUAUAAGAGGUUAAAUUUGGAAUUAAUCAGAGAGAAGCUGCUGGAGCACUUAUUUAUAGAAUCAUUGCAGAAGGCCAGUCCAACUAAUAAGAUAUCCACUAAAUACUUUGACUAUAUUGUUUUUUUGUCAUUUAGCUACUUUCUGCCUCAGUGUGCCAUGAGUUGAAUGGGAAUAAUAGAACUACCUGACCUCACAGAAGUAAAUGGAAUAUAAAUCUGUAAAGUUCUCAGAUUCUGUGGUGAGAUGGCCACCUAAGCUUUUACAAUAGAUACACCUGGACAUCUGAAAAUUUGCAAGGUGUAUGCUGUAGUAUUCAUUUGCAAGUUGGUAUCCAUAAAGCUCUUCCUGUUCAUAGUGCUAGGGAUAGAUCUAGGUAUCAUCUGAAUGGGGCCAACUAUCCAGUGACUUCAGUCAUUCCCCGCCCCUUCCAUCCUCCCUUUGUCAAUCUUUGCAGAUUUUAUAAUGUCAACCCUUUUACUUCCAGAGUAUUGAUGUAAUUCAACAUUUUCAUCAGGUGUAGACAAUUCCUCGCAGAAAACUCUGCUACGUACACCCUCAUUUCACAAUGAUUCCCCAUUGCUAGCUUCUCUUUACGUGCAUUAAGAACUGAUUGACAACUUUUAACAUUUACACUACUUAGUGCAGUUUUAAAAUCACAAUGCUGAUGCCUGGAAAAGUUUUUAACUGUCCAAAACUUGCACAGUUACCUUCAUCAAUGACAUCUAUGGUCGCCACAAAGGAUAAAGUCAAAUUUGGGACUGAAGUGUAAAGUACAUACCCCAAGCUGGGAAAGAAUCAUCUCCAGCCUUUUGUUGCACAGGUUGAUGACCCCUUGCUUGUUCUCAAUCAGGAGACUGCGCUUUGUGAUCUCAGUUUCACUACGGCUGAUCAGGUCGUGGAUAUUUUUUAUUUCCUUGUCCAGCUCAGAAAGUGUUUUUUGGAGAACGGUCAGCCUGCAGUUAGUAUGAGUUGCAUUCAGAAUUACUUGGGCUGUAUCAUUCUCAACUUUGGAAAAAUGCAGCUCCUAGUAAUAUCACCAGAUAGAAAACAAAUUACUGUCACCAACAGCAACCUAUUCAUUUGUAAUGCCAAGUUCUCAAAGGACAGGAUCAGAGGAUUUAGAUUCUACUCACAGGUCCAUGCUACAAACCAUAAGCAAGCUACAUACCAUCUCCGUACCUUUGUUUCUCCAUCCAUUAGCAGUAGAUAACAUUUACCUCUCCUACAAGGCUGUUGAGAAGCAUUAAGGAGCUUAAACAUCCCAAAAUCCUAUAGAAGACUGUGCUCAUCACUUCUGGAAUUAUCUUCCCUACCCAGCUGUCUCUAGUUACCUAGCUAACAGUGAGUGGUAGGACAUGUCCACAUUUCAACUUCUAUGCCAUACCUGGCAAAAGCAUCCCUGACCAAAUUACAACUGUGCUAGCUCCCCAGCCAUGAAGAGCUGCUAUGCUUUUUGUUCGAGUGCAGUAUGGCUGCAAUUAGACAACUUUCAAGACCCUGCCUGCUACUUCUACACAAUCUGUACCACACUGCGAGAGGUUAUAAUUUGAUCGUUCCCAAGUCAGUAGUCUCUGCACCAUAUUCUGCUGUACAAGAGAGAUACUAAUAGAAAUAAAUGCAGAAGCUGAUGUACUUUUUUGUGUAUCUGAUGGAAAGGAGGGCCUUCCUCAUAGUGAAAGCCAGCCCUGGCAGCCUUCCAGCCACCUAAGAUAUGCACCUAUUUUACAAAACCCUGUGCAGACUGAAGUUAAACACAGAGAGCUGUGAGCAUGAUGUGUUAGUACCAGCCCACACAACUCAAUAUGAUAAAUACUAUGCUGAAUCUUCUAUUUUUUUCAUCUAUACCAGUUAUACACUCCUGAAGAGAGCAAUUUAGCAUGCCAUAAAGAGCUGUGGGUUUGUUUUGACUGUUCCUUGGAUUGGAUUCAUUAUUUAGAAACUGAGAGUAUGCCCGCAUCACAUUCUGUGAUGCAGUAUAGAGAUGUAAGUUAGUUUAAGGUGGAGUAUAGAGGUAUCGCGCAUCAACCAUCUUUCGCCAGUAAGUAAGAGCUUGUAAUGCUUUACAGUAAACACUCCCAGGAUUCAUCAUUCUGACCCAUUUUUUAAGUAAAGAAAGAAUAAUGUAUUUGUCACAACUUUUUGGCCAAACUGUCUCUUGCAUGCGCCUCCUGCAGUAAUAUCACUGGAAGAAUUAACAGGAGUCACAAACCUAGAAGGGGUUUCAGUUACAGGGCUGAAAACCAGAACCACGACAAUGACAAAACACAUUUGAGAAACACUGUUCUAGGCUGUGAUUGUAGCCUGUUUCCUUUCUCAGCCCUCCCAAAUGGAAAAGAUACCAUACCAGAUCCAUUUUUCUCUUACGAAGUUUUUCAGCCAGCUGCGAGAAGUAUUUUGCUGCUUUGCUGGACAUCAUCUGAUCCUGAAGCUUUGCCAUGAUCUCAUUCUCCAUUUGCUCUUUGGUAUCAGUUCCUUUCUCUAUAUCCUUACUGAUGGAUAGCAACUCGUUCACACGAGCAGCUUGAUCCUAAGAGGCAGAGAAGACAGAGACAGGAUCACUAACAGUGUUUGGAGACGGGGAUUAAACAGGUAUGUCCUAUUUAAAAGGAUUCUUCUUCCAAAUGGCUUUUCUUACCAUCUUUGUUCUACUGAGGGCCUGCUCUGUCUCCUGGAGAAUGCGGGUAUAGGUGUUAGAUUCAACCUUCAAGGCCUCCUGCCUUGAAAGACACUGGGCAAUCAUUUUCUUUGUCAUAUUAGCAUCAUUCUGAGAACGGCUCAGGAUGGUGACGAGCAUCUCAUUCUUCUCCUCUUCCUUCCUGAUUGACUUUCUGCAGCCAUAGAUAUCUAUUUCUAGGGACUUGAGCUCAUGUCUGUACUUGCUGAAGAGGCAAAGAGGAUGGAAAUCAUCACAGGGAUUGAUUUGUGCACUGAACACAUACAAAUUCCUCUUUUCAAAUAUGCUAUUGCAGAAAUAAAUGAAUGAGGAGGAAGAUCUUUAUAAAGAUCAGUCUAUUGUGACAGCACAAAGUUAUCAGAAGAUAGAUGGAGAGGCUAAAAUGUAAAAGGAAAUGUAUGUAGGAAAAUUAAUUUCUUUGGUUUUCUCCUUACCCUUUCCCAUUCUGACUGGGAUGCCACUGUAUAAAAACAUACAGUUUGUUCUUAUAGAAUCAGUCAAGCUUUAAGACUCCAGGCCAAAUAAACAUUCCCUUUAGCAACAAUAAUAAGGUUUCCCUGAAGAUUUCAGAAGGCAUCACAAAAUCCUAACUGAAAGUGAUAGAUAAAUCCUUCUUGGUGGCUUGCUUUUUGGACUGAGAGAUGUUGCAGAGGUAGAAGGAACUUUUCAAAAGAAUAAAAUGUGCACAGAAUAACCCUAAACAGCUUUCAAAAAAAUCAGAUUUUUGAGGGAGGGUUGUGUUGUGGAUGAAGAAAAAAAGUAACAAAGGACCAUGGUCCUUUCCCUUUAAUCUUCCGUGUGCUUCAGUGUAGCAGAUUUAUUCUGUCUGACAUAUUCUACACAUACAGUAAUAAAUUUGAUAGAAGACAUACUGUCCCUUUUAGAAUCUCUCCCAUCCAAAUUACUUGAGGUCUCUCCUUGCACUGCUCUCAGACACUGUACCUCAGCAAGUCUUGUAUGGCAGCAUAGGCCUCAUCUCUUUGCCUCAUUCCAGCCAAACUACUAUUCCAGUGGUUCAUCAACCGCUUCUUCUCCAUGUUAAUAGCCUGUACCUCCAUACUAGCCUGGGGAAGACAGAAUUUGUAGAUGGACUGAAUCUAUACCGGACUAAGAAACCAGAAACAAUGAGAAACAAUGCCAUACUUCUUUUUUCUGUUCAUAAUAUGCUGGGCAGGAAUAGUUUCAACUGAACUAGCUUUCCAUUCUCAAGCUUUUCUGCUCUUUCUUUAGUUUUUUUUUUAAAUCCUUAUUCUUCUACGUACAUUAGCAUAAUUCAUCCUACUAGUCCCACUAACAACUUCAGUGUGUUUGAAAGCAUAAUUUAUGUCAUUGCAUUUUUUUGCCACAUUAUGGUUACAAAUGAAAGUUCCAGAAACAACAGUAAACAGGGUAUUUUCAGAUGACAUUUCUGGUCACAAUUAGAGAGGAGGGAGGAGAGAAAGAAGGAAAGAAAAACAAACAAACCAAACCCUGUCUCUGGUCCUUCGUAGCAACUCAUAUUGCUAUCUUUUGGCAAAAAGCAUCACCCAAAAUACCAAGUUACUGACAUAAUAUGAAAACACAGAAGACUGUGCACAUUUAAAUCAUGAUUAGCUUAGUGCACCCGGGACAGCGUGAUGAUAGAGCUGUGACAAUAUUAUUUAUACUGUGCUAGUUCUAUGUCAAGCUAAAUAUCAUUUCUCUGUGAUACUGGCUAUAAUGCGAUACUGGCUAUAAUGUUCCAAUCAUGCACAGAAAGAAAUUUGAUAAUAUGUUAGAAAUUAUGUUAGCUAGAAGCUGGAGAGGAGGCAGAGUUCUCUUCUGCUAACUCACAAUAUCUGCCCUAUCAUGCGUGUCUGGCUUAUUAUCACACUAGAGCAUAGAAAAGUGAUAGAUCUCCAAGACAAAACGCUGAAAAGUCAGGGGGGAAAUGAUUUACAGACAAUUCUUACAGACAAUGGGGGAAAAAAAAUCCUCCGUUCCUGUAAACAGGAAUGAACUAUAGGACUCUAGUCUACACUGUAAAUAUCACAUGAGCAUAAACCAAAGAGGUCAGUCCCUCCAGAGUGCAAUAUUAACUAGAAGUGAAAAAUAAAGUCACCUCCUACCUCA
Long non-coding RNA from Dromaius novaehollandiae (emu), 7930 nucleotides. RefSeq lists it as uncharacterized. The transcript is spliced from 2 exons. Lineage: Eukaryota; Metazoa; Chordata; Aves; Casuariiformes; Dromaiidae. The record is from RefSeq and is a predicted model, not a curated record.